RNAcentral lists this ribosomal RNA (492 nucleotides) under uncultured bacterium. RNAcentral's name for it is "bacterial SSU rRNA". It matches the Rfam family "Bacterial small subunit ribosomal RNA", at positions 28 to 486 of the family's 1533-position model. The record is from RNAcentral.
GACGAACGCUGGCGGCAUGCCUAAUACAUGCAAGUCGAACGAACCAUCCUGAAGAUUGAAGCUUGCUUCAUGAUUCAGACCUUGGUGAGUGGCGGACGGGUGAGUAACACGUGGGUAACCUGCCCAAAAGUGGGGGAUAACAUUUGGAAACAAGUGCUAAUACCGCAUAACAACUACUUUCACAUGAUCGUAGCUUGAAAGAUGGCUCUGCUAUCGCUUUUGGAUGGACCCGCGGCGUAUUAGCUAGUUGGUGAGGUAAUAGCUCACCAAGGCAAUGAUACGUAGCCGACCUGAGAGGGUAAUCGGCCACAUUGGGACUGAGACACGGCCCAAACUCCUACGGGAGGCAGCAGUAGGGAAUCUUCCACAAUGGGCGAAAGCCUGAUGGAGCAAUGCCGCGUGAGUGAAGAAGGUUUUCGGAUCGUAAAACUCUGUUGUUGAAGAAGAACAUGCGUGAGAGUAACUGUUCACGUACUGACGGUAUUCAACCAG